CUCCCCACCUUUCGAGAGUAGUGGUUCAGCCCUCUGGGGCAAGGCGGGAGCAGUGGGGCACCAAUCAGUCCCACAGCAGGACUGUGCGGAGGAGCAGUUGUGAUCAACUUCUAAUCAACUUGUAAUCUUCAAUUGUGGUGAUGGGAACACGCAGAGCCUGCUGUCUUUUGGAAUCCAGGCAAUUCUUUCAAGUAUUCUUUCUGGGCUCCUUGUAUUGUUCAUAUAUCUUUGUCGCUCUUCCAAGCAAAGUGUAGGGGUUUUUUCCCAGAUAGAACCAGUGGAAGUCUGUCGAUGGCCUCAGCAAGUACCAGCAUGACCAAAAGAUGUCCCGAGAGCAUGAAAAUGAACCUGUGAAGUCUAUCCAGACCUUUGGCACUACAGACACUGAAUUUUUUGCAAGGCUGAGGAGUAAGAUGGGCACUCUUUGUAUGAACCUGUUGGACACUGGGAGGAGAAAUGAAGAAUUGUUAGAACCAGCUUGAGACCAACUGACUGUGCAGCACUAAUCCAUAAGAAACAAAAAACUGUUUAAAAGAUGGACUAUUAAGCCUGCAUGUAGUAAUACAAGUCACUUUUAACUUACUGGGGCAGUGUCUGGUAAUGUUUAUGUAGACAAAAAAAA
This is a long non-coding RNA of Pipra filicauda (Wire-tailed manakin), 622 nucleotides long. RefSeq lists it as uncharacterized. The transcript has 3 exons. The record is from RefSeq and is a predicted model, not a curated record. NCBI's taxonomy places the organism in Eukaryota, Metazoa, Chordata, Aves, Passeriformes, Pipridae.